This 866-nucleotide ribosomal RNA is filed under the name uncultured Pseudomonadales bacterium. RNAcentral describes it as "bacterial SSU rRNA". It matches the Rfam family "Bacterial small subunit ribosomal RNA", at positions 28 to 889 of the family's 1533-position model. The record is from RNAcentral. Lineage: Bacteria; Pseudomonadati; Pseudomonadota; Gammaproteobacteria; Pseudomonadales.
AUUGACGCUGGCGGGCAGGCCUAACACAUGCAAGUCGAGCGGAUGAAGGGAGCUUGCUCCUGGAUUCAGCGGCGGACGGGUGAGUAAUGCCUAGGAAUCUGCCUGGUAGUGGGGGAUAACGUCCGGAAACGGGCGCUAAUACCGCAUACGUCCUGAGGGAGAAAGUGGGGGAUCUUCGGACCUCACGCUAUCAGAUGAGCCUAGGUCGGAUUAGCUAGUUGGUGGGGUAAAGGCCUACCAAGGCGACGAUCCGUAACUGGUCUGAGAGGAUGAUCAGUCACACUGGAACUGAGACACGGUCCAGACUCCUACGGGAGGCAGCAGUGGGGAAUAUUGGACAAUGGGCGAAAGCCUGAUCCAGCCAUGCCGCGUGUGUGAAGAAGGUCUUCGGAUUGUAAAGCACUUUAAGUUGGGAGGAAGGGCAGUAAGUUAAUACCUUGCUGUUUUGACGUUACCAACAGAAUAAGCACCGGCUAACUUCGUGCCAGCAGCCGCGGUAAUACGAAGGGUGCAAGCGUUAAUCGGAAUUACUGGGCGUAAAGCGCGCGUAGGUGGUUCAGCAAGUUGGAUGUGAAAUCCCCGGGCUCAACCUGGGAACUGCAUCCAAAACUACUGAGCUAGAGUACGGUAGAGGGUGGUGGAAUUUCCUGUGUAGCGGUGAAAUGCGUAGAUAUAGGAAGGAACACCAGUGGCGAAGGCGACCACCUGGACUGAUACUGACACUGAGGUGCGAAAGCGUGGGGAGCAAACAGGAUUAGAUACCCUGGUAGUCCACGCCGUAAACGAUGUCGACUAGCCGUUGGGAUCCUUGAGAUCUUAGUGGCGCAGCUAACGCGAUAAGUCGACCGCCUGGGGAGUACGGCCGC